RNAcentral lists this ribosomal RNA (253 nucleotides) under uncultured bacterium. Its description in RNAcentral is "partial 16S ribosomal RNA". It matches the Rfam family "Bacterial small subunit ribosomal RNA", at positions 524 to 776 of the family's 1533-position model. The record is from RNAcentral.
UACGGGGGGGGCAAGCGUUGUUCGGAAUUACUGGGCGUAAAGGGCUCGUAGGCGGCCAACUAAGUCGGACGUGAAAUCCCCAGGCUCAACCUGGGAACUGCGUCCGAUACUGGAUGGCUUGAAUCCGGGAGAGGGAUGCAGAAUUCCAGGUGUAGCGGUGAAAUGCGUAGAUAUCUGGAGGAACACCGGUGGCGAAGGCGGCGUUCUGGACUGCAACUGACACUGAAAAACGAAAGCCAGGGGAGCAAACGGG